GUAGCUCGGCUGCUCGCCUAGUCGCCUGCUCCGCACAACCACGCCUCCGCCGGCCGUCGUGUCUGCUCCCAGGUCCCGUGUCUACUUCGGCCGUCGUGUCUGCUCCCAGCUCCUGUGUCUACUUCGGCCGUCGUGUCUUCCCGAGAUGCUCUGAGUUUGCCCGAACAGCGGAGUGGCAAUAUUUGAGAGCCUGAGAGGUUUGACCGUGAUUGUAGUGAUGUUGCCUCACUGUUAAGGUAAUGCCUCCAAAUAUGUUGGUCAUUUAGGAGGUGCUUUGAGUAAAAAUUUACUUUUGAAGGGUAUUGUUAAAGCAAGGAUUGCCUUUUCGGGGCCAUGAUGAAUCGGAUGAGUCCCACAAUAAAGGGAACUUCAGGGAAUUUCGUGAUUACACAGCGGAGCAAAAUCUUGCUUUACGCAAGGUAACAGGUAAAAAUGCAUCAGCUAACAGUCUUUUGGUAGCUCCUGAAAUCCAAAGGGAUAUUGUUAAAUGUUUUGCAAAGGAAGUGCUACAUUCUAUUCUAGAAGAAAUCGGGCAUGAUGUUUUUUGCUUGCUAGUUGAUGAGUCUAGAGAUAUUUCUUGCAAAGAACAAAUGGCUGUGGUUUUGAGAUAUGUUGAUAAAUGUGGAAUUAUGAAAGAGAGAUUUGUUGGUCUUGUUCAUGUGAGAGAAACAACUUCUGCCUACCUCAAGUCUUCCAUUGAUGCUUUAUUUGCAGAGCUUAAGCUAAGCUUAAAGCAAGUUAGGGGCCAAGGCUAUGAUGGUGCUAGCAAUAUGAGA
Molecule: long non-coding RNA, 776 nt
Organism: Phragmites australis (common reed)
Lineage: Eukaryota; Viridiplantae; Streptophyta; Magnoliopsida; Poales; Poaceae
Exons: 3
Source: RefSeq, a predicted model, not a curated record